This 492-nucleotide ribosomal RNA is filed under the name uncultured bacterium. RNAcentral describes it as "partial 16S ribosomal RNA". It matches the Rfam family "Bacterial small subunit ribosomal RNA", at positions 29 to 507 of the family's 1533-position model. The record is from RNAcentral.
AGUGAACGCUGGCGGUAGGCCUAACACAUGCAAGUCGAACGGCAGCACAGUAAGAGCUUGCUCUUACGGGUGGCGAGUGGCGGACGGGUGAGGAAUACAUCGGAAUCUACUUUUUCGUGGGGGAUAACGUAGGGAAACUUACGCUAAUACCGCAUACGACCUACGGGUGAAAGCAGGGGAUCUUCGGACCUUGCGCGAUUGAAUGAGCCGAUGUCGGAUUAGCUAGUUGGCGGGGUAAAGGCCCACCAAGGCGAUGAUCCGUAGCUGGUCUGAGAGGAUGAUUAGCCACACUGGAACUGAGACACGGUCCAGACUCCUACGGGAGGCAGCAGUGGGGAAUAUUGGACAAUGGGCGCAAGCCUGAUCCAGCCAUACCGCGUGGGUGAAGAAGGCCUUCGGGUUGUAAAGCCCUUUUGUUGGGAAAGAAAAGCAGCAGGUUAAUACCCCGCUGUUCUGACGGUACCCAAAGAAUAAGCACCGGCUAACUUCGUG